This 983-nucleotide ribosomal RNA is filed under the name Escherichia coli. Its description in RNAcentral is "partial 23S ribosomal RNA". It matches the Rfam family "Bacterial large subunit ribosomal RNA", at positions 419 to 1399 of the family's 2925-position model. Lineage: Bacteria; Pseudomonadati; Pseudomonadota; Gammaproteobacteria; Enterobacterales; Enterobacteriaceae. The record is from RNAcentral.
GGGACACGUGGUAUCCUGUCUGAAUAUGGGGGGACCAUCCUCCAAGGCUAAAUACUCCUGACUGACCGAUAGUGAACCAGUACCGUGAGGGAAAGGCGAAAAGAACCCCGGCGAGGGGAGUGAAAAAGAACCUGAAACCGUGUACGUACAAGCAGUGGGAGCACAGAGCAAUCUGUGUGACUGCGUACCUUUUGUAUAAUGGGUCAGCGACUUAUAUUCUGUAGCAAGGUUAACCGAAUAGGGGAGCCGAAGGGAAACCGAGUCUUAACUGGGCGUUAAGUUGCAGGGUAUAGACCCGAAACCCGGUGAUCUAGCCAUGGGCAGGUUGAAGGUUGGGUAACACUAACUGGAGGACCGAACCGACUAAUGUUGAAAAAUUAGCGGAUGACUUGUGGCUGGGGGUGAAAGGCCAAUCAAACCGGGAGAUAGCUGGUUCUCCCCGAAAGCUAUUUAGGUAGCGCCUCGUGAAUUCAUCUCCGGGGGUAGAGCACUGUUUCGGCAAGGGGGUCAUCCCGACUUACCAACCCGAUGCAAACUGCGAAUACCGGAGAAUGUUAUCACGGGAGACACACGGCGGGUGCUAACGUCCGUCGUGAAGAGGGAAACAACCCAGACCGCCAGCUAAGGUCCCAAAGUCAUGGUUAAGUGGGAAACGAUGUGGGAAGGCCCAGACAGCCAGGAUGUUGGCUUAGAAGCAGCCAUCAUUUAAAGAAAGCGUAAUAGCUCACUGGUCGAGUCGGCCUGCGCGGAAGAUGUAACGGGGCUAAACCAUGCACCGAAGCUGCGGCAGCGACGCUUAUGCGUUGUUGGGUAGGGGAGCGUUCUGUAAGCCUGUGAAGGUGUGCUGUGAGGCAUGCUGGAGGUAUCAGAAGUGCGAAUGCUGACAUAAGUAACGAUAAAGCGGGUGAAAAGCCCGCUCGCCGGAAGACCAAGGGUUCCUGUCCAACGUUAAUCGGGGCAGGGUGAGUCGACCCCUAAGGCGA